Molecule: ribosomal RNA, 645 nt
Filed under: Salmonella enterica
Lineage: Bacteria; Pseudomonadati; Pseudomonadota; Gammaproteobacteria; Enterobacterales; Enterobacteriaceae
Also listed under: 1 other name
Description: bacterial LSU rRNA
Rfam family: Bacterial large subunit ribosomal RNA
Source: RNAcentral
UUAACCGAAUAGGGGAGCCGGAGGGAAACCGAGUCUUAAUUGGGCGUUAAGUUGCAGGGUAUAGACCCGAAACCCGGUGAUCUAGCCAUGGGCAGGUUGAAGGUUGGGUAACACUAACUGGAGGACCGAACCGACUAAUGUUGAAAAAUUAGCGGAUGACCUGUGGCUGGGGGUGAAAGGCCAAUCAAACCGGGAGAUAGCUGGUUCUCCCCGAAAGCUAUUUAGGUAGCGCCUCGUGAAUUCAUCUCCGGGGGUAGAGCACUGUUUCGGCUAGGGGGCCAUCCCGGCUUACCAACCCGAUGCAAACUGCGAAUACCGGAGAAUGUUAUCACGGGAGACACACGGCGGGUGCUAACGUCCGUCGUGAAGAGGGAAACAACCCAGACCGCCAGCUAAGGUCCCAAAGUCAUGGUUAAGUGGGAAACGAUGUGGGAAGGCCCAGACAGCCAGGAUGUUGGCUUAGAAGCAGCCAUCAUUUAAAGAAAGCGUAAUAGCUCACUGGUCGAGUCGGCCUGCGCGGAAGAUGUAACGGGGCUAAACCAUGCACCGAAGCUGCGGCAGCGACGCUGAUGCGUUGUUGGGUAGGGGAGCGUUCUGUAAGCCUGUGAAGGUGGCCUGUGAGGGUUGCUGGAGGUAUCAGAAGUG